UACGAAGGGGGCUAGCGUUGCUCGGAAUGACUGGGCGUAAAGGGCGCGUAGGCGGCACUGUUAGUCAGGCGUGAAAUUCCUGGGCUCAACCUGGGGACUGCGCUUGAUACGGCAGAGCUAGAGGAUGGAAGAGGCUCGCGGAAUUCCCAGUGUAGAGGUGAAAUUCGUAGAUAUUGGGAAGAACACCGGUGGCGAAGGCGGCGAGCUGGUCCAUUACUGACGCUGAGGCGCGACAGCGUGGGGAGCAAACAGG
Molecule: ribosomal RNA, 253 nt
Filed under: uncultured bacterium
Lineage: Bacteria
Description: partial 16S ribosomal RNA
Rfam family: Bacterial small subunit ribosomal RNA
Source: RNAcentral